This 253-nucleotide ribosomal RNA is filed under the name uncultured bacterium. RNAcentral describes it as "partial 16S ribosomal RNA". It matches the Rfam family "Bacterial small subunit ribosomal RNA", at positions 524 to 776 of the family's 1533-position model. The record is from RNAcentral.
UACGGAGGGUGCAAGCGUUAUCCGGAUUCACUGGGUUUAAAGGGUGCGUAGGUGGGCAGGUAAGUCAGUGGUGAAAUCUCUGGGCUUAACUCAGAAACUGCCAUUGAUACUAUCUGUCUUGAAUACCGUGGAGGUCAGCGGAAUAUGUCAUGUAGCGGUGAAAUGCUUAGAUAUGACAUAGAACACCAAUUGCGAAGGCAGCUGGCUACACGAAUAUUGACGCUGAGGCACGAAAGCGUGGGGAGCAAACAGG